Non-coding RNA from Podarcis lilfordi (Lilford's wall lizard), 76 nucleotides. NCBI's taxonomy places the organism in Eukaryota, Metazoa, Chordata, Lepidosauria, Squamata, Lacertidae. The record is from the annotation of a GenBank genome assembly.
GUCUUUGGCUGUGUUCAAUUGGUAAAACAUGAGACUCUUAAUCUCAGGGGUGUGGAUUCGAAUCCCACAUUGGGCA